RNA transcript from Vitis vinifera (wine grape), 2136 nucleotides. RefSeq lists it as uncharacterized. Lineage: Eukaryota; Viridiplantae; Streptophyta; Magnoliopsida; Vitales; Vitaceae. The record is from RefSeq and is a predicted model, not a curated record. The transcript is spliced from 3 exons.
GCCUCUCUCUCUCUUAGCCCUUAACCACUCCCACUCCGACAUUUUGAAUCAACCUUCACCCUCGACAGAAAGAACCGACUUUUUCACAAUGGCGAAGUCGUCGACCACCACGACGACGCCGUUUCCGCCCAUUAGACCGGAGGACUAUCGACACAGUCCGGUCCACUACGCCGUCGCUUUGGGGGACCAUACAACACUGUCUCGCCUUGCUUCUUCGCUCCCCCGACUCGCUGAUCCGUCUCAGAUCCACACCGAGUCAGACUCGCUGGCUCAGGAGCGAGUUGCCGACCAGAUCUCCUCCAUCCUGGACCGCCGCGACGUGCCCUUCCGGGAGACGCCUCUCCAUUUAUCGGUUCGGCUUAAUGACUGCUUUGCUGCGAAGACGCUGGCGGCGGCCGGAGCUGACGUGUCGUUACAGAAUUCAGCUGGGUGGAACCCGUUGCAGGAGGCGUUGUGUCAGAGGAGUUCCGAUAUCGCGCUGGUUCUGGUCCGACUGCACCACCGCUUCGCCUGGUCGAAGUGGCGGCGGAGGCUGCCGAGGCUGGUGGCGGUGCUUCGCAGGAUGAGAGAUUUUUAUAUGGAGAUUUCGUUUCAUUUUGAGAGCUCCGUCAUUCCGUUCGUUGGGAAGAUUGCUCCUUCCGAUACAUACAAGAUCUGGAAGCGGGACGGUAAUCUCAGAGCCGACACGUCGCUUGCUGGCUUCGACGGCUUUAAGAUCCAGCGGGCUGAUCAGAGCUUCCUUUUCCUCGGAGACGGCGAUCGCGAUUUUGAUGUUCCGCCUGGCUCAUUGCUGGUGCUCAACCACGACGACAAGAAAAUUUUCGAUGCAUUCGAGAACGCUGGUGCGCCAAUGAGUGACUCCGACAUUGCCGGUUUCUGCGCUCAGACGAGCGUGUAUCGCCCGGGCAUGGACGUCACGAAGGCUGAACUUGUCGGAAGAACGAACUGGCGAAGGCAGGAGAAAACUGAGAGCGUCGGAGAGUGGAAAGCUAAGGUUUACGAAAUCCACAACGUCAUCUUCAGCUUCCGCUCUAGAAAAAUCUCCACCGAAAUCGACGCCGGAAGCGAACAGGUGCUACCGCUAGAACUCGACGAGGACGCUGAGGAAGGUUUCCUCGUCGCCGAGAAUUUCGGACCUCCCGAUCGCCGCAGACACAGCAGCUUCGUUCGCGAGGAAAGAGAGUUCCUCUCUGUAGGUAGGAAAAGUGUGGAUAUUCCCUCCGCAGCGCCUGACCGUCGCAGGCUAUCUCCGGCGGUGGCGCCACCGCAAACGAAAGAAAAAGAGUACUUGAAAAGUUUACGACCGUCGGUGUGGCUAACAGAGCAGUUUCCUUUGAAGACGGAGGAGCUCUUGCCAUUACUCGACAUUCUAGCCAACAAGGUGAAAGCCGUCCGCCGGAUGCGAGAACUGCUGACCACGAAGUUCCCGCCGGGAACAUUUCCGGUAAAGCUCGCGAUUCCGGUGGUGCCUACGGUGAGAGUGGUGAUUACCUUCACCAAGUUCGUCGAACUCCAAUCCACUGAGCAGUUCUACACUCCACUGUCGAGCCCUAGGUAUUUUGGACAUGGAGGACGAGCCCAAUCUGAGCAUUCAGAUACUCAACACCAAUCAUUCUCGUCGUCUUCGACUUCAACAUCAACAUCAACAUCAACAUCAUCAGCAUCAGCAUGGCUGAGGCGAAGUAACAGCCAAGCAAAUUCAGGAAGCAAGAACCACCACCAGCGAGGUCCGGGGCCUCAGCAAUCUGAGCCAUUUGCUAUGCCCAAUGGGUACACAUGGACCAGUAUUAUUGACGAUAACAAGAGCCGGAAAUUGAAGAAAUCCAAGUCCAUGAGAAGAUCCAAGUGAAAGAAAUCGACUUGGAUGGCUUUUGCAAAUCCAGUGUAGAUAUCAUAGAUUGGAAAGAGAGAAAGGCAGACAGAGAGAGAGUAAUGCUCCAUGGGAUGGGAGGAAUCAUCACUACCCUGACCUGAAGAGAAUAGGUAUUUGCUCUCUCUACUAAUCUUAGCAAUUAGAUUUUCCCAUUGCAGUAUGCUUAGCAAUGAGGUUUCUUUAUUCCUGCUAUAGCAUAAGCCAUAUCUUGCUGAAUCAUUCUUAGCUAGAAAAUUUUAUGUUGUAUAUAAGUCAAGAAAGCG